This 465-nucleotide ribosomal RNA is filed under the name uncultured bacterium. RNAcentral describes it as "partial 16S ribosomal RNA". It matches the Rfam family "Bacterial small subunit ribosomal RNA", at positions 339 to 795 of the family's 1533-position model. The record is from RNAcentral.
CUACGGGCGGCAGCAGUGGGGAAUAUUGGACAAUGGGGGAAACCCUGAUCCAGCAAUGCCGCGUGUGUGAAGAAGGCCUGCGGGUUGUAAAGCACUUUCGGUUGGGAGGACUGCUUCUAGCACUAAUAUUGUUGGAAGUUGACGUUACCUUCAGAAGAAGCACUGGCUAACUCCGUGCCAGCAGCCGCGGUAAUACGGAGGGUGCAAGCGUUAAUCGGAAUUACUGGGCGUAAAGCGCGCGUAGGCGGCUAGAUCAGUCGGGUGUGAAAGCCCCGGGCUUAACCUGGGAACUGCAUCCGAUACUGUCUAGCUUGAGUACAGGAGAGGAGAGUGGAAUUCCACAUGUAGCGGUGAUAUGCGUAGAUAUGUGGAGGAACACCAAUGGCGAAGGCAGCUCUCUGGCCUGAUACUGACGCUGAGGUGCGAAAGCGUGGGUAGCAAACAGGAUUAGAUACCCUAGUAGUC